GACGAACGCUGGCGGCGUGCUUAACACAUGCAAGUCGAACGGUAAGGCCCCAGCUUGCUGGGGUACACGAGUGGCGAACGGGUGAGUAACACGUGGGUGACCUGCCCCGCACUUCGGGAUAAGCCUGGGAAACUGGGCCUAAUACCGGAUAGGACCGCACCGUGAGGGUGUGGUGGAAAGUGUUUCGGUGUGGGAUGGGCCCGCGGCCUAUCAGCUUGUUGGUGGGGUAAUGGCCUACCAAGGCGGCGACGGGUAGCCGGCCUGAGAGGGUGGACGGCCACAUUGGGACUGAGACACGGCCCAGACUCCUACGGGAGGCAGCAGUGGGGAAUAUUGCACAAUGGGCGGAAGCCUGAUGCAGCGACGCCGCGUGGGGGAUGACGGCCUUCGGGUUGUAAACUCCUUUCACCAUCGACGAAGGUUUUCUGACGGUAGAUGGAGAAGAAGCACCGGCUAACUACGUG
Molecule: ribosomal RNA, 464 nt
Filed under: uncultured bacterium
Lineage: Bacteria
Description: partial 16S ribosomal RNA
Rfam family: Bacterial small subunit ribosomal RNA
Source: RNAcentral